RNAcentral lists this long non-coding RNA (300 nucleotides) under Lathyrus oleraceus (garden pea). RNAcentral's name for it is "Pisum sativum (pea) long non-coding RNA (PSAT_LNC024450)". Lineage: Eukaryota; Viridiplantae; Streptophyta; Magnoliopsida; Fabales; Fabaceae. The record is from RNAcentral.
AAAGAGGAAUCGAGGUUGGUCCUGCUAAAAAAAAAGAGAAAAAAAAAAGAAAAAAGAAAAAAAAAGAAAAAAAAAGAAAAGCAAAUACAGAAAUGCCUGAACCGAGAACAAAAAAGAAAAAAGAGGUCAAACGGUCAGGUAGGAUAAUGAUUGCCAAGGGGCGCUGAAGAGUAAAGAGAAUAAGUUGCAGGAACCUCUGAUUCCGAUACUUCAGUGGAAGAAACGAUUGUUAAUCUAUUACUUGACAGCCCUCAAGGGGUCUAUGAGGUGCGUAUUGAGUCAGUGUGACUAGUCUUGUCG